RNAcentral lists this transfer RNA (76 nucleotides) under Ostreibacterium oceani. RNAcentral's name for it is "Cardiobacteriales bacterium ML27 tRNA-Val". It matches the Rfam family "tRNA". From Rfam's summary of the family: Transfer RNA (tRNA) molecules are approximately 80 nucleotides in length. Their secondary structure includes four short double-helical elements and three loops (D, anti-codon, and T loops). Further hydrogen bonds mediate the characteristic L-shaped molecular structure. tRNAs have two regions of fundamental functional importance: the anti-codon, which is responsible for specific mRNA codon recognition, and the 3' end, to which the tRNAs corresponding amino acid is attached (by aminoacyl-tRNA synthetases). tRNAs cope with the degeneracy of the genetic code in two manners: having more than one tRNA (with a specific anti-codon) for a particular amino acid; and 'wobble' base-pairing, i.e. permitting non-standard base-pairing at the 3rd anti-codon position. The record is from RNAcentral. Lineage: Bacteria; Pseudomonadati; Pseudomonadota; Gammaproteobacteria; Cardiobacteriales; Ostreibacteriaceae.
GGGUGCUUAGCUCAGUUGGUAGAGCAUCGCCCUUACAAGGCGAGGGUCAGGGGUUCAAGUCCCUUAGCACCCACCA